RNAcentral lists this ribosomal RNA (1346 nucleotides) under uncultured bacterium. RNAcentral describes it as "partial 16S ribosomal RNA". It matches the Rfam family "Bacterial small subunit ribosomal RNA", at positions 28 to 1381 of the family's 1533-position model. The record is from RNAcentral.
GACGAACGUUGGCGGCGUGCUUAACACAUGCAAGUCGAACGGAAAGGCCCUGCUUUUGUGGGGUGCUCGAGUGGCGAACGGGUGAGUAACACGUGAGUAACCUGCCCUUGACUUUGGGAUAACUUCAGGAAACUGGGGCUAAUACCGGAUAGGAGCUCCUGCUGCAUGGUGGGGGUUGGAAAGUUUCGGCGGUUGGGGAUGGACUCGCGGCUUAUCAGCUUGUUGGUGGGGUAGUGGCUUACCAAGGCUUUGACGGGUAGCCGGCCUGAGAGGGUGACCGGCCACAUUGGGACUGAGAUACGGCCCAGACUCCUACGGGAGGCAGCAGUGGGGAAUAUUGCACAAUGGGCGGAAGCCUGAUGCAGCAACGCCGCGUGCGGGAUGACGGCCUUCGGGUUGUAAACCGCUUUCGCCUGUGACGAAGCGUGAGUGACGGUAAUGGGUAAAGAAGCACCGGCUAACUACGUGCCAGCAGCCGCGGUGAUACGUAGGGUGCGAGCGUUGUCCGGAUUUAUUGGGCGUAAAGGGCUCGUAGGUGGUUGAUCGCGUCGGAAGUGUAAUCUUGGGGCUUAACCCUGAGCGUGCUUUCGAUACGGGUUGACUUGAGGAAGGUAGGGGAGAAUGGAAUUCCUGGUGGAGCGGUGGAAUGCGCAGAUAUCAGGAGGAACACCAGUGGCGAAGGCGGUUCUCUGGGCCUUUCCUGACGCUGAGGAGCGAAAGCGUGGGGAGCGAACAGGCUUAGAUACCCUGGUAGUCCACGCUGUAAACGGUGGGUACUAGGUGUGGGGUCCAUUCCACGGGUUCCGUGCCGUAGCUAACGCUUUAAGUACCCCGCCUGGGGAGUACGGCCGCAGGGCUAAAACUCAAAGGAAUUGACGGGGCCCCGCACAAGCGGCGGAGCAUGCGGAUUAAUUCGAUGCAACGCGUAGAACCUUACCUGGGUUUGACAUGGAUCGGGAGUGCUCAGAGAUGGGUGUGCCUCUUUUGGGGUCGGUUCACAGGUGGUGCAUGGCUGUCGUCAGCUCGUGUCGUGAGAUGUUGGGUUAAGUCCCGCAACGAGCGCAACCCUUGUUCACUGUUGCCAGCACGUUAUGGUGGGGACUCAGUGGAGACCGCCGGGGUCAACUCGGAGGAAGGUGGGGAUGACGUCAAGUCAUCAUGCCCCUUAUGUCCAGGGCUUCACGCAUGCUACAAUGGCUGGUACAGAGAGUGGCGAGCCUGUGAGGGUGAGCGAAUCUCGGAAAGCCGGUCUCAGUUCGGAUUGGGGUCUGCAACUCGACCUCAUGAAGUCGGAGUCGCUAGUAAUCGCAGAUCAGCAACGCUGCGGUGAAUACGUUCCCGGGGCU